Molecule: long non-coding RNA, 300 nt
Filed under: Elaeis guineensis (African oil palm)
Lineage: Eukaryota; Viridiplantae; Streptophyta; Magnoliopsida; Arecales; Arecaceae
Description: long non-coding RNA (EGUI_LNC003292)
Source: RNAcentral
ACCAAAUAAGUCUCGAACACAAGGACUUAAUAAUAUAUAUGAUAUUUAUUAUUAAAUAUAUAUCUAUUAUGAAAUAUUGAUUUUUAAAGAACAUAAAUAGAUAUAUUUUUAUAUAUGGAACAUAAGACUUAAAUCUAUAAUUGAUUAUUAACAUAUAAUUAGUAUAUUAAUUAACAAUCAAAAUAAAAAAAAUUAAGAUGUCAAUGACUCUUUUAACGUGCUAUCAAAUAAUAUUGUAUUUUGAGAUCGAGUGUUAGGAGGGGAUGGUGAAUGGAACCCCCUCAACUAAUAAUGGGAACA